RNAcentral lists this ribosomal RNA (484 nucleotides) under uncultured bacterium. Its description in RNAcentral is "partial 16S ribosomal RNA". It matches the Rfam family "Bacterial small subunit ribosomal RNA", at positions 30 to 507 of the family's 1533-position model. The record is from RNAcentral.
AUUGAACGCUGGCGGCAGGCCUAACACAUGCAAGUCGAGCGGAUGAAGGGAGCUUGCUCCUGGAUUCAGCGGCGGACGGGUGAGUAAUGCCUAGGAAUCUGCCUGGUAGUGGGGGAUAACGUCCGGAAACGGGCGCUAAUACCGCAUACGUCCUGAGGGAGAAAGUGGGGGAUCUUCGGACCUCACGCUAUCAGAUGAGCCUAGGCCGGAUUAGCUAGUUGGUGGGGUAAAGGCCUACCAAGGCGACGAUCCGUAACUGGUCUGAGAGGAUGAUCAGUCACACUGGAACUGAGACACGGUCCAGACACCUACGGGAGGCAGCAGUGGGGAAUAUUGGACAAUGGGCGAAAGCCUGAUCCAGCCAUGCCGCGUGUGUGAAGAAGGUCUUCGGAUUGUAAAACACUUUAAGUUGGGAGGAAGGGCAGUAAGUUAAUACCUUGCUGUUUUGACGUUACCAACAGAAUAAGCACCGGCUAACUUCGUG